GAUGAAGAACGCAGUGAAAUGCGAUACGUAAUGUGAAUUGCAAAUUCAGUGAAUCAUCGAAUCUUUGAACGCACAUUGCGCCCGCUAGUAUUCUGGCGGGCAUGCCUGUCCGAGCGUCAUUUCAACCCUCAAGCCCCCGGGCUUGGUGUUGGGGAUCGGCGAGCCUCCGCGCCCGCCGUCCCCUAAAUCUAGUGGCGGUCUCGCUGUAGCUUCCUCUGCGUAGUAGCACACCUCGCACUGGGAAACAGCGCGGCCACGCCGUUAAACCCCCAACUUCUGAACGUUUGACCUCGGAUCAGGUAGGAAUACCCGCUGAACUUAAGCAUAUCAAUAAGCGGAGGA
RNAcentral lists this unclassified non-coding RNA (342 nucleotides) under soil metagenome. RNAcentral's name for it is "partial contains 5.8S ribosomal RNA, internal transcribed spacer 2, and large subunit ribosomal RNA". The stretch from base 1 to 119 matches the Rfam family "5.8S ribosomal RNA", at positions 35 to 154 of the family's 154-position model. The record is from RNAcentral.